Molecule: ribosomal RNA, 433 nt
Filed under: uncultured bacterium
Lineage: Bacteria
Description: partial 16S ribosomal RNA
Rfam family: Bacterial small subunit ribosomal RNA
Source: RNAcentral
AACGAACGCUGGCGGCAUGCCUAACACAUGCAAGUCGAACGAGACCUUCGGGUCUAGUGGCCCACGGGUGCGUCACGCGAGGGAACCUGCCCUUAGGUUCGGAAUAACUCCCCGAAAGGGGUGCUAAUACCGGAUAAUGUCUUCGGACCAAAGAUUUAUCGACAUUGGAUGGGCCCGCGUUGUAUUAGCUAGUUGGUAGGGUAAAAGCCUACCAAGGCGACGAUCCAUAGCUGGUCUGAGAGGAUGAUCAGCCACACUGGGACUGAGACACGGCCCAGACUCCUACGGGAGGCAGCAGUGGGUAAUAUUGGACAAUGGGCGAAAGCCUGAUCCAGCAAUGCCGCGUGAGUGAUGAAGGCCUUAGGGUUGUAAAGCUCUUUUACCCGGGAUGAUAAUGACAGUACCGGGAGAAUAAGCUCCGGCUAACUCCGUG